CUUAAUCGAUUAACUAAAAUAAGAUUUAAUAACCGAAAGUGUAAGAUUUUACUUUAAGAUUAAAUUAUGUUUAUUAAAUAUUUCAGGUAGAUUUGAUUAAAAUUUUGAGUACGUUGUGAUAAAUUAUACGUUUUCACUUAUAUCUGUUUAAUGGUGUGACACAUUAUGCCACCUCAUUGGCAAGGAAGUCUAUGAGGGUUAAAUAUUUAUGCUUUUCUGAGUAAAUUAAAGGGUUAAAAUUACCCAUUAAUUAUGAUUAUGUUACAAUACUCUUUAUAGCGCUUGAAAAUUUUAUUUCAAAACCAUUAAUUUUAAUUUUUAGUAUAUUAUUAUGAUUAAAUUAGUAAUAUUAAUAUACCCUAUGGUUCUCAAAGGUUACCCGUCUGUUUAUUAAAAACAUUUCCACCUAUUAAAUAUUGGUGGUAGUACCUGCUCUAUGCUUAAAGUAAAUGGCCGCAGUAUCUUGACUGUGCGAAGGUAGCAUAAUUAAUUGCCUUAUAAUUGAGGGCUUGUUUGAAAGGUUUGACGGGGUAAUACUUAACAAGGGGUGUAUUAUUGAAUUUAUUAAUGGGGGCACAGAAACCCCUUAGUUUAAUUAGACGGAAAGACCCCGGGAUCUUUGUUUUUUGUCUGGGGCAGAUUGGAGUCUUUCACUAUUUAUUAAGACCCUGUAAAGUGCAUUGGUGUAAGUUACCCCGGGGAUAACAGUGUGAUAGUUUAUAAGAGAUCUUAUCGAAUUUACUGAUUGCCACCUCGAUGUUGACUUAGGUUUAAAUUUAGGCGCAGCAGUUUAAAUUUAUGGUCUGUUCGACCAUAUUAUACCUCCAUGAGUUGAGUUAAGACCGGCGUGA
Molecule: ribosomal RNA, 851 nt
Filed under: Flapocephalus sp. n. 2 AW-2016
Lineage: Eukaryota; Metazoa; Platyhelminthes; Cestoda; Lecanicephalidea; Lecanicephalidae
Description: partial 16S ribosomal RNA
Rfam family: Archaeal large subunit ribosomal RNA (bases 599-851)
Source: RNAcentral